RNAcentral lists this long non-coding RNA (530 nucleotides) under Triticum aestivum (bread wheat). RNAcentral describes it as "long non-coding RNA (TAES_LNC003923)". Lineage: Eukaryota; Viridiplantae; Streptophyta; Magnoliopsida; Poales; Poaceae. The record is from RNAcentral.
AGUUGAGCUACGAUCUAUUUUGCCAACAUAUAUCUGAAUUUAGGUUCAGUUUUACUUUCUUCCUCUUUUCUGCAAUACUGCACUAAUCCGUGAAGGCUGAAAGGUUGUUCAAACAUGUUCUGCAAAUUGAAGAACAAAGCACCCACAGAAUAAAACCAAACCUAGGUAGUCUAACGAGCAUCCAGUUAUUGUGCCACCUGCUCACACACAUGCCUCUCAUCCCUUAUCUUGUCCCUGCCAAAUCACAGAUGAACCAGGUGAUGGUCAGAGAGCAAUGAGGCAAAUCAUUCUGAGCGCAAGGCAGAGCACCAAACCAAUCAAGGGAGACACAAUUAAAUACACAAAAUGAAGAAAGAGAUAACUCCUCUGAUCCCCACAAUACCUGCAGAAUCCACCACCACGAGAUGUUUCCGAAACCCCAGCACGUCACAGCGGCGGAAACCAAUAAUAAACCACGAGUACCAAAUUCGACAAGAAAGAUGGGCACGAGAUGCGAUAUGACCAGGAACCUACUCGAUUUGCAGGAGAAG